Long non-coding RNA from Alosa sapidissima (American shad), 479 nucleotides. RefSeq lists it as uncharacterized. The transcript is spliced from 3 exons. The record is from RefSeq and is a predicted model, not a curated record. NCBI's taxonomy places the organism in Eukaryota, Metazoa, Chordata, Actinopteri, Clupeiformes, Clupeidae.
CCAGUCUCACGUCUGAACGUGUCACUGUCACGUUAAUUAAUCUAUUGGGACGUGUUGUGUAACACGUUUCCUUGUUAAAAAACGUGUUGAGCAGGACGUAAUUAUCGUGUUACUAUCACGUUGUAUUUCGCAUUCAAUGAGCCAACAGAACCACGUCAUCUGUCAAAAAAGCCCGACCCAAAAUGGCGAGAAUGUUAUUUGAUGCUUUUGACGUGCAGUUUCAUACUCUUAAGCCUGCUUUGAGUUGUGGGUUAGAAGGAGCCACCUUCUAGCUAGCAGUUUUAAAAGGCUGAACCCCAGAAUCCAGAAACAAGAACCGAGCAGGGACGGAGAAAAAAGAAGAAUCCAAAUGGGAAAUGAGAUAAGGCCUCUUCAUUUUCAACUGUGAAGGAUCUACAUGGACUUGGUCUGGAUAGCCUUUCCUGUUUUGAUGAGCCAGUCGGGUCUAGAGGGAAAACCCUAUACAGUAUGAGCCCCAG